UGGCAACAAUGGGCGCCUCAGUGGACACGU
Molecule: non-coding RNA, 30 nt
Filed under: Mus musculus (house mouse)
Lineage: Eukaryota; Metazoa; Chordata; Mammalia; Rodentia; Muridae
Source: RNAcentral